UGGGGAAUAUUGCACAAUGGGCGCAAGCCUGAUGCAGCCAUGCCGCGUGUAUGAAGAAGGCCUUCGGGUUGUAAAGUACUUUCAGUCGGGAGGAAGGUGGUAAGGUUAAUAACCUUGGCAAUUGACGUUACCGACAGAAGAAGCACCGGCUAACUCCGUGCCAGCAGCCGCGGUAAUACGGAGGGUGCAAGCGUUAAUCGGAAUUACUGGGCGUAAAGCGCACGCAGGCGGUCUGUCAAGUCGGAUGUGAAAUCCCCGGGCUCAACCUGGGAACUGCAUUCGAAACUGGCAGGCUAGAGUCUUGUAGAGGGGGGUAGAAUUCCAGGUGUAGCGGUGAAAUGCGUAGAGAUCUGGAGGAAUACCGGUGGCGAAGGCGGCCCCCUGGACGAAGACUGACGCUCAGGUGCGAAAGCGUGGGGAGCAAACAGG
This 429-nucleotide ribosomal RNA is filed under the name Chloroflexota bacterium. Its description in RNAcentral is "Chloroflexi bacterium partial 16S ribosomal RNA". It matches the Rfam family "Bacterial small subunit ribosomal RNA", at positions 355 to 776 of the family's 1533-position model. The record is from RNAcentral. Lineage: Bacteria; Bacillati; Chloroflexota.